GAUGAAGAACGCAGCAAAAUGCGAUACUUGGUGUGAAUUGCAGAAUCCCGUGAACCAUCGAGUUUUUGAACGCAAGUUGCGCCCGAAGCCUUUUGGCCGAGGGCACGUCUGCCUGGGCGUCACGCAUCGCGUCGCCCCCCACAAUUCUCCGUAAAGGGAACAUGUGUUUUGGGGGCGGAUAUUGGUCUCCCGUGCUCAUGGCGUGGUUGGCCGAAAUAGGAGUCCUUUCGAUGGACGCACGAACUAGUGGUGGUCGUAAAAACCCUCGUCUUUUGUUUCGUGCUGUUGGUCGCAAGGUAAACUCUUUAAAAACCCCAAUGUGUCGUCUCUUGACGACGCUUCGACCGCGACCCCAGGUCAGGCGGGACUACCCGCUGAGUUUAAGAAUAUCAAUAAGCGGAGGA
Molecule: unclassified non-coding RNA, 404 nt
Filed under: soil metagenome
Description: partial contains 5.8S ribosomal RNA, internal transcribed spacer 2, and large subunit ribosomal RNA
Rfam family: 5.8S ribosomal RNA (bases 1-122)
Source: RNAcentral